GACGAACGCUGGCGGCGUGCUUAACACAUGCAAGUCGAACGGAAAGGCCCUGCUUUUUUGGGGUGCUCGAGUGGCGAACGGGUGAGUAACACGUGAGUAACCUGCCCUUGACUUUGGGAUAACUUCAGGAAACUGGGGCUAAUACCGGAUAGGAGCUCCUGCUGCUUGGUGGGGGUUGGAAAGUUUCGGCGGUUGGGUAUGGACUCGCGGCUUUUCAGCUUGUUGGUGGGGUAGUGGCUUACCAAGGCUUGGCCGGGUAGCGGGCCUGAGAGGGGAACCGGCCAAAUUGGGACUGAGAUACGGCACAGACUAAUACGGGAGGCAGCAGUGGGGAAUAUUGCACAAUGGGCGGAAGCCUGAUGCAGCAAAGCCGCGUGCGGGAUGACGGCCUUCGGGUUGUAAACCGCUUUCGCCUGUGACGAAGCGUGAGUGACGGUAAUGGGUAAAGAAGCACCGGCUAACUACGUG
This 468-nucleotide ribosomal RNA is filed under the name uncultured bacterium. Its description in RNAcentral is "partial 16S ribosomal RNA". It matches the Rfam family "Bacterial small subunit ribosomal RNA", at positions 28 to 507 of the family's 1533-position model. The record is from RNAcentral.